GAUGAACGCUGGCGGCGUGCCUAUACAUGCAAGUAGAACGCUGAAGCUUGGUGCUUGCACCGAGCGGAUGAGUUGCGAACGGGUGAGUAACGCGUAGGUAACCUGCCUCUUAGCGGGGGAUAACUAUUGGAAACGAUAGCUAAUACCGCAUAAAAGUCGAUAUCGCAUGAUAUUGAUUUGAAAGGUGCAAUUGCAUCACUAAGAGAUGGACCUGCGUUGUAUUAGCUAGUUGGUGAGGUAACGGCUCACCAAGGCGACGAUACAUAGCCGACCUGAGAGGGUGAUCGGCCACACUGGGACUGAGACACGGCCCAGACUCCUACGGGAGGCAGCAGUAGGGAAUCUUCGGCAAUGGGGGCAACCCUGACCGAGCAACGCCGCGUGAGUGAAGAAGGUUUUCGGAUCGUAAAGCUCUGUUGUAAGAGAAGAACGAGUGUGAGAGUGGAAAGUUCACACUGUGACGGUAACUUACCAGAAAGGGACGGCUAACUACGUGCCAGCAGCCGCGGUAAUACGUAGGUCCCGAGCGUUAUCCGGAUUUAUUGGGCGUAAAGCGAGCGCAGGCGGUUAGAUAAGUCUGAAGUUAAAGGCUGUGGCUUAACCAUAGUACGCUUUGGAAACUGUUUAACUUGAGUGCAGAAGGGGAGAGUGGAAUUCCAUGUGUAGCGGUGAAAUGCGUAGAUAUAUGGAGGAACACCGGUGGCGAAAGCGGCUCUCUGGCCUGUAACUGACGCUGAGGCUCGAAAGCGUGGGGAGCAAACAGG
Molecule: ribosomal RNA, 764 nt
Filed under: uncultured Streptococcus sp.
Lineage: Bacteria; Bacillati; Bacillota; Bacilli; Lactobacillales; Streptococcaceae
Description: bacterial SSU rRNA
Rfam family: Bacterial small subunit ribosomal RNA
Source: RNAcentral